Molecule: long non-coding RNA, 1944 nt
Organism: Equus caballus (horse)
Lineage: Eukaryota; Metazoa; Chordata; Mammalia; Perissodactyla; Equidae
Source: Ensembl
GUUAAAGUUCGGCAUGCUCUGCUUCGGCGGCCCCAGUCCACUUCCCAGUCGCGGAACCACACCACCCAUCUGUCAUUGCCGUGCUGUGGUGGCAGCUCAGAUAGAAGAACUAGAAUGACCUAUAACUAGGAUAUGCAACCAUGUUCUGGGGGCUUUGGUGAGAAAAAAGAAAAGAGGAAGAUUUGGCAAUAGAUGUUAGCUCAGGGCAAAUCUUUCCCUGCAAAAAAAAAAGAAAGUUAAACAAACUUACCAUGUGGCCCAGCAAUUCUACUCCCAGGUCCCUGUCUAAGAGAAACAAAAACGUACGUCCACACAAAGGUUUGUGAGUCAGUGUUCAUAGCAGCAUUGUUCACGAGAGGCAAAAACUGGAAACCACCUAGAUGCCCAUCAACUGAUUAACAGGCAAAGUGUGGGAAAUCCAUAUGCUGGAACCCCAUUCACCGAUAAAAAGGAACAAACUAAUGGCGGUGCUGCCAUAUGGAUGAAUGGCAGAGAUGCUGAGAUAAGCGAGAGAACCGACACAGAGACCACCUGGUGUGUGAUCGCACGCACGUGAAAUGUCCAGACAAGGCGAACUGACAGGCAGGCCUCCCCUGCAGAAUAACCUUCCUGAGGACAGAUGCUGAGCCUUGACUCUCAGACUCCGGGAGCAAAGUCCACCUCCUGCGGGACGCAAUGACGGCUUGCUGCCUUCACAGAUAAGUGCGAUGGGAAGGCAGAGCCCAGCAGAAGGAGAAUUUGGUUCCAUUCCUGAGGUCUUUGACUGGGACCUACAUGAGUGCGAGAAUAAUGAAAAAGAGAGAGAGAAGGGGGCAAGAGUACACCAGGGUGUUUAAUAGAGUGUGAUCGUAUCCUGUAAAUAAGACAGUGCUGACAAAAGGAAGAAAAGCCCGCCCCUGUGUGAAUGAACUGAGUAAACAGCUUACUCCUUCUGCCAAAAGGUUGGCAAGGAGUAGAAAGUAAGAAGAAGGAAAAUACCAGCAAAUGAGAGCCUUGGUUCGGGAAUGCAAUGUAUCUGGAGAACAAAAUUAUGGCAUAUGAAAGGCGGGGGAGAGGAAGGGAGGGAGGAGGAAAGGAGAAAAAGGGAGAGGGGAGAAAGAGAGAGGUCAGGGAGGGAGGCAGAGAGGAGGAAGGGCAGAAGCAGCCAGACCCUGGAGGGCCGGGCAGGCCAAGAGGACCUGGGCUCCUGGCUGAAUGGGGCAGAGCAAUGACAGGAGAACGUGUGUCAACACGAUAAUAAUAGGCUUCACUUGGGAGUGUGGGGACGAGAUGUUUAUUGGCAUGUGCCACAGGCCACACCACCAGGACACUGGGGACACAAGGUGAACAAGACACACUUCUCCAGACCACACGCGCGCACGCGCACGUGCACACACCGCCCCCCCCACCAUUGUCAAAACACUAAAUUCCAGAAAGUGAUGGAGAGCAGCGCUGUGAGAUUUAAAAACAGAGACUCUGGGCAACCUUUCUCCCACCCUACAGGCCACAUGGCGGCCACCCCCGCCCAGCUGCUGGGAGGAGCCCAGAGCCGUGGGGCUCAGCCCUGGCUCCACACCGGAACCUUCUGGGUUCAAAGUCCUGACCCAUGGGUCCUAUCCCCAGAGCUUCCAGUGUAACUUGCCCAGGGUGGGGCCUGGGCUUGGGGAUUUUUUAAAUCAUCCUGAAAACUCCUGACCUAAAGGAUCGUCUUUCUCAGGAGGCCUGUGUUGCCGAGGGACCUGCACAGACGGGAUAGGUGCCCGACACACGCUCACUGAAUGGCUGACAUAUGCACCGGGCUUCCCUGGAUGGAGCUGGGAGCCCCCCCACCCCCCCACGGCGGUGCUCCCGGAGCGUGGAUGGAGGGGGACACGCACAAUUUUCAAUGUCUGUGCUUCCCAGCAUAGGCUUCCUCACUCCGAGCAGAUAUCACUUUAAAAGUUAAUUAAAAGAAAAUGAUUUGCC